Molecule: small nucleolar RNA, 95 nt
Filed under: Stegodyphus mimosarum
Lineage: Eukaryota; Metazoa; Arthropoda; Arachnida; Araneae; Eresidae
Description: Small nucleolar RNA U3
Rfam family: Small nucleolar RNA U3
About the family: Small nucleolar RNAs (snoRNAs) are involved in the processing and modification of rRNA in the nucleolus. There are two main classes of snoRNAs: the box C/D class, and the box H/ACA class.
Source: Rfam by way of RNAcentral
AAUAUCAUACUUCACAGGAUCAUUUCUAUAGUAUGACUGGCGAGUUCAUUCCCUUUAUGUAAUAUCAGUUACAAGAUCUUCAUUGACAAGGAGGA